Lactuca sativa (garden lettuce) is the source of this 1009-nucleotide long non-coding RNA. RefSeq lists it as uncharacterized. NCBI's taxonomy places the organism in Eukaryota, Viridiplantae, Streptophyta, Magnoliopsida, Asterales, Asteraceae. The record is from RefSeq and is a predicted model, not a curated record.
UUCCCCUUCUUCUUCUCCCUACGUUCACAGUCGGUUUAUCGAUCCUUCCAACAAUGUUUUAAUUAUGGCACUUCUCCUUCAACCAACCACGAUAAGGAGGUUGCUUCCUUCUUAAUCGAUAACUGACCUAACCACGAUAGAGAAAAAUGUCGUAUAUAAUGAUCGGAAGAUGUUCAAUAUUUCUACGUUUCAAACAAUCGGUUGAAUUGUUUCAUUUGAUGUCAAUAGUUAUGGAAGAUGAUAUUAUAUCACCAUAAUUUGUGUGUGGUAAUGGAAGAUGAUAUCGAAAGGAUAUGCCCAAUAAUGCCUUACGCUUCCAUUCAUGAAUUCAGAAGGACUUCAACGGCAGGACAAAUUAGGUGACUUACAUGGGAAAGUGGCAUUCAAGGCUUCGAUUUGUGGGCUUGGAAUGGAAAAGAGAAAGCAUUUUCCUUCACUAGGGUGUCUUUUCUUCAAGCGUAGGUUCAAAGCUCAACAAUUUGUUUGUCCAUUCCAUUCAAAUCAAUCCAUGGGGUCAGCUUUCAAGGUGUGAGAACAUUGUCGAGCACUGAAGAGUAUUGUAGCAGAGCAAUCCUGGCAAACCCUAAAGGUGGUAAGUCUUUAAUAAUGUAUGCUGAUUUGAUAUGGGGGACACAAAAGGAUGGAAUUCGUACAGAUGGUUACUUUGAUCGCUAAACAUCUUCACAACAAUUGAAAAAAUUUACCUUCCUUUUAUGUAUUUAUUUUGAUUUGGGUGUUAUCGAUAGUUGGCUCACUUGGUUAACUAAAGAGAAGGGAUAUGUUUUUGCGAUUUUGAAUGAAGGGUAUUUUCGUCCUUUUUGGAAAAUAACAGAUUGUUGUGAUUUAUUUGUGUAUUGCUGCGAGAAGGAUAGGGACUUCAUACACAAGGAUAUCGGUUUGAAUGUAAUUCUUCAAUUCGUUGGAUUGUUAGUUGCUACGUGGUGUUCUUUUGGAAAUUGGAAUUUAAGUUAUGCUACUAUAUUAGCAAAGGGAUUGGCAAAAAGAUCAA